GACGAACGCUGGCGGCGUGCUUAACACAUGCAAGUCGAACGGAAAGGCCCUGCUUUUGUGGGGUGCUCGAGUGGCGAACGGGUGAGUAACACGUGAGUAACCUGCCCUUGACUUUGGGAUAACUUCAGGAAACUGGGGCUAAUACCGGAUAGGAGCUCCUGCUGCAUGGUGGGGGUUGGAAAGUUUCGGCGGUUGGGGAUGGACUCGCGGCUUAUCAGCUUGUUGGUGGGGUAGUGGCUUACCAAGGCUUUGACGGGUAGCCGGCCUGAGAGGGUGACCGGCCACAUUGGGACUGAGAUACGGACCAGACGCCUACGGGAGGCAACAGUGGGGAAUAUUGCACAAUGGGCGGAAGCCUGAUGCGGCAACGCCGCGUGCGGGAUGACGGCCUUCGGGGUGUAAACCGCUUUCGCCUGUGACGAAGCGUGAGUGACGGUAAUGGGUAAAGAAGCACCGGCUAACUACGUG
This 468-nucleotide ribosomal RNA is filed under the name uncultured bacterium. RNAcentral describes it as "partial 16S ribosomal RNA". It matches the Rfam family "Bacterial small subunit ribosomal RNA", at positions 28 to 507 of the family's 1533-position model. The record is from RNAcentral.